This 354-nucleotide ribosomal RNA is filed under the name Rhizophagus manihotis. RNAcentral describes it as "eukaryotic LSU rRNA". The record is from RNAcentral. Lineage: Eukaryota; Fungi; Glomeromycota; Glomeromycetes; Glomerales; Glomeraceae.
UUGAAGUCAGUCGUACCGGUGGGUAAUCAGCCUUUCGGCGUGAUUAUGUGGAGCGUGAGGAGUUAAACGCCUUCAUGCCUGCAUAUUCGUGUUCUUUGGGUGUACUUACCCGCAUGGUAGGUUAACAUCAAUUUCGAACGUCAUAAAAUGGUUGGAGGAAUGUAGCUUCGAUCUCGUAUUGAAGUGUUAUAGCCUUCGGCAGAUGUGAUGAUCGGGAUUGAGGAUUGCAACGGAUACCCUUCGGGGCUACCCGUCUGAUCUCUGAAAGUUACUCUGGUGCCGAAAGCUCGCUUACGGUCAUCAAAGUUGACGUUCAACAGGUUAGAACGGGAUAAAUUCGUUAAGGAUGUUGAC